AUGAUUAUAGGAGAUUUUAAUGAGAUAUUAGUUGCAAAUGAGAAGGAAGGUGGCGACAUCGUACCUUUAUACUUGUUGCAAAACUUCAGAGAUUGCAUAGAAGAGUCUGGUUUACAGGAAGUUAUGCACAUUGGCGACCCAUUCACAUGGAGUCGGGGGACGAUAAGGGAGCGCCUGGACAGAUCUCUAUGUAAUGAGAAGUGGUCUGAAAAAUUUCCCUAUGCAGGUGUGGUACGUGAGCAUCAUACCCAUUCAGAUCAUUGA
Molecule: ribosomal RNA, 264 nt
Filed under: Triticum aestivum (bread wheat)
Lineage: Eukaryota; Viridiplantae; Streptophyta; Magnoliopsida; Poales; Poaceae
Description: partial small subunit ribosomal RNA
Source: RNAcentral